Paramisgurnus dabryanus is the source of this 625-nucleotide long non-coding RNA. RefSeq lists it as uncharacterized. Lineage: Eukaryota; Metazoa; Chordata; Actinopteri; Cypriniformes; Cobitidae. The record is from RefSeq and is a predicted model, not a curated record.
UACAUCUACAUUUAUUUUAUAAAUGAGGAAAUACAUGUGAAUAAUUCAAUCUGAAUUAUAAAUCUGAAAUGAGUAAACCAAUCGGAGUGUUUAAUUGUAAGCUCCGCCCCUUUUUUGCUUUCGGAUCGCGUCUCAGUUCAGAGGAGAGAUGCAGAGCGACAGAGACACUCGAUCUAACGCGAGAGUGUUUAAUUUGAUUAAAUAUGACUCUUAAGUUCAUAUAAACUGAAGAGAUCAGAAUUUAACUUGCAUAUAUUCAAUGAUACAGCGUGAUUGUGUGGAUUGAGCACUUUUUGAGCUUUCAUUUUGACCUGUGUGAUUAUGUAAAACCACAUGGUGCGUUGUGUUCACUGCUGUUCGCUGACGCCAUUUUGGUUGCACGUGCCUGUGAAAGACAAAAAGAGAGAGAAACACGUGAAUGGACAGCUGGAUUUUCCUAAUUGAUGGCGAGCCUCCCAUUUCGACCUGAUUGGAUCACGAAUCUAGAGGAAAGGACAAUUUUCUAUUUUAAAUAUUUUUCUUCAGACAAGUAAGAGGAUACAUUUCAGAAACUGUUUCCUUAUUUUGUUUGUUUACUUUAUUGAACUGAAACAUUUCAGAAGCACAAUUCUGAUAAUUUAAGACU